UCGUCAAAUUUGCCCGGCACGGGGACUCU
This 29-nucleotide small RNA is filed under the name Bombyx mori (domestic silkworm). Its description in RNAcentral is "ovarian small RNA-29209". The record is from RNAcentral. Lineage: Eukaryota; Metazoa; Arthropoda; Insecta; Lepidoptera; Bombycidae.